UUAAAAGCGGUCCUGAUUGGGAAUUGUCAUAAUUGGUCCGGUUCCCAUUAAAUUUCAGGAACCGACAGGGUCCGUCCUAAUCCGGGUAUUGAGAAUUGUCAUAAUUGGUCUGGUUCCCAUUAUACUUCAGUAACAUCAAUAUCUUCGGCCAGGCCUAUAUCCGGUUGUGAUAGAAAGGACCGAGUGUAUAGUUGUUCUAUCUUGAAGCACUUUGAUAGGGGCUAUCUCUAUGUUGAACCCCUGUUUGAUGGGGGGAACUUUGUUGUGUUUGCACAUGGAACCCACUACAUAUCACGCGAGGCCCCAAGGAAUAAUUGCCCCGUUAAUUUCGG
Molecule: long non-coding RNA, 332 nt
Filed under: Amborella trichopoda
Lineage: Eukaryota; Viridiplantae; Streptophyta; Magnoliopsida; Amborellales; Amborellaceae
Description: long non-coding RNA (ATRI_LNC002468)
Source: RNAcentral